Long non-coding RNA from Bos taurus (domestic cattle), 788 nucleotides. NCBI's taxonomy places the organism in Eukaryota, Metazoa, Chordata, Mammalia, Artiodactyla, Bovidae. The record is from Ensembl.
GCAUGAGAGAGCUGCAAAGUAGAAAGAGGCUGCUGCAUGCCUUAACCCACGUUGUUACUCCAGCCUCCAAACAGCAAUUUGAUUAGCUUUUUUUCGGUGAUAAAAGAUAAAGAUUUAUUGUAACCCACAUACAAUUGAAAUCAGAAUUUCACAGGAGGGUCACAGUCAUUAGGGAAGUUUUGGAAUACUAUUGUCUUAACAAGCACCAUAUGGGCUGCCGCUGUUAUUAUUUAACACCUAUUAAGGAGGCACAUCAUUCUAGGCUUUGAACAGCUGAGAGGCCAUAGCCCCCACCGUCCUUGGAGCUUUGAGUCGAUGCCGCAGGUAGGGUGCGUGUUUUCUGGAUGAAGGGCACGUACCGACAAGAUUUAACGAUAACAGGCACGAAAACCAGUUUAGAAGCUUGAGAUGGAAAUCAUACAAAACAGUCCACUCCUUAUAUAUUUUAUCGAGGAACCUGGAAGCCUUUUCGGUGGAAAUUUGAUUCCUGGGAAGUUAUUCUGGCUGGAGCCUGUUUGUCUUGACACAGCAGCCCUGUACUCGCAGCCUGCUCUGCUCCUUCACAAAGCUUUUUGAGGGGAAACUAUGUUGAGAGAUACAAAUUCAAGUUUUUGUGAAAGCACACCUCAGAAUUGUCCAGUUCUAUUCCAGAUACACAAAAACAGUGAAUAAAGGUCAGGGAGUCUCCAGAUACCUUGGGCUUCGUGUGGUCAUUUCAGCCCCAUGGACUGUAGACCACUAGGCUUCUCCGUCCAUGGGAUUCUCCAGGCAAGAAUACUGGAGUGGGU